RNAcentral lists this ribosomal RNA (492 nucleotides) under uncultured bacterium. RNAcentral's name for it is "partial 16S ribosomal RNA". It matches the Rfam family "Bacterial small subunit ribosomal RNA", at positions 29 to 507 of the family's 1533-position model. The record is from RNAcentral.
AGUGAACGCUGGCGGUAGGCCUAACACAUGCAAGUCGAACGGCAGCACAGUAAGAGCUUGCUCUUACGGGUGGCGAGUGGCGGACGGGUGAGGAAUACAUCGGAAUCUACUUUUUCGUGGGGGAUAACGUAGGGAAACUUACGCUAAUACCGCAUACGACCUACGGGUGAAAGCAGGGGAUCUUCGGACGUUGCGCGAUUGCAUGUGCCGAGGUCGGAUUAGCUAGUUGGCGGGGUAAAGGCCCAACAAGGCGACGAUCCGUAGCUGGUCUGAGAGGAUGAUCAGCCACACUGGAACUGAGACACGGUCCAGACUCCUACGGGAGGCAGCAGUGGGGAAUAUUGGACAAUGGGCGCAAGCCUGAUCCAGCCAUACCGCGUGGGUGAAGAAGGCCUUCGGGUUGUAAAGCCCUUUUGUUGGGAAAGAAAAGCAGCAGGUUAAUACCCCGCGGUUCUGACGGUACCCAAAGAAUAAGCACCGGCUAACUUCGUG